UACGGGGGGGGCAAGCGUUGUUCGGAAUUACUGGGCGUAAAGGGCGCGUAGGCGGAUGUUUAAGUCGGGGGUGAAAGCCCAGGGCUCAACCCUGGAAUUGCCUUCGAUACUGGAUAUCUUGAGUUCGGGAGAGGUGAGUGGAAUGCCGAGUGUAGAGGUGAAAUUCGUAGAUAUUCGGCGGAACACCAGUGGCGAAGGCGACUCACUGGCCCGAUACUGACGCUGAGGCGCGAAAGCGUGGGGAGCAAACAGG
Molecule: ribosomal RNA, 253 nt
Filed under: uncultured bacterium
Lineage: Bacteria
Description: partial 16S ribosomal RNA
Rfam family: Bacterial small subunit ribosomal RNA
Source: RNAcentral